ACGGGGGGGGUAAGCGUUGUUCGGAAUUACUGGGCGUAAAGGGCUCGUAGGCGGCCAACUAAGUCAGACGUGAAAUCCCUCAGCUUAACUGGGGAACUGCGUCUGAUACUGGAUGGCUUGGAUCCGGUAGAGGGAAGCGGAAUUUCCGGUGUAGCGGUGAAAUGCGUAGAUAUCGGAAGGAACAUCAGUGGCGAAAGCGGCUUCCUGGACCAGUACCGACGUUCAGGCACGAAAGCGUGGGGAGCAAACAGGA
This 253-nucleotide ribosomal RNA is filed under the name uncultured prokaryote. RNAcentral's name for it is "partial 16S ribosomal RNA". It matches the Rfam family "Bacterial small subunit ribosomal RNA", at positions 525 to 777 of the family's 1533-position model. The record is from RNAcentral.